This 1249-nucleotide long non-coding RNA is filed under the name Callithrix jacchus (white-tufted-ear marmoset). RNAcentral describes it as "lncRNA (ENSCJAG00000084902.1)". Lineage: Eukaryota; Metazoa; Chordata; Mammalia; Primates; Cebidae. The record is from RNAcentral.
UAUGGAAUAUUCAUUUAUAGAAAAGAGUUAUCAUUACAGUUCAAGGAACAUAAAUGAUAUUCAAAUAAUUAAUUAGAAAUAUAGUGACCAUGGAUUUAAAAUUCAGCACCUUAAAGUAUCAAUUCACACUAACUUAAUUUGUCCAUUCAAUGAAAUCCCAAUAAAAAUAGAAACAACACAUGGGGAAGACAGUUGACCAACUGAAGAAAAACCUCAAAUGGAAAAUUUAAAAACAGCAAUAACAAAAAGUGUUGUUAAAAUUUUCAGUAAAAAAAUUCUAACAUUUUGCAAUGUCACCCUUCAGUAUUAUGGUGAGUGGGCCCAAGUAAUCAUUUUAAUCUAUUCUGCAUGAAGGUCUUAUGCUGCCAUUUUUAAGUAUAAAAUUUUAGUCUUCAUCAUUUACUCAAAUUCCCCAUCUCAGGCACCUGUAAUCAUCUGAAUCAUCAGAAUUCUGUCUUUUCCUAAUAACUUCAUGUUUCUGUUUCCAAAUUUUGUUUUUACAUUCUUAAGAUUUUUCUAAACUAUUUUCUUCCUUUCAUAUCUACUGAUAAUACUAGAAUUAGGUAAGGAGUCACAGAUCCUUACCUCUACUGCUAAAACAGUCAAAUCUUCUAUUUCAAGUCUCUAUUCUAGCUUCUUUUUUUCUUUCUUUUUUUUUUUUCAAUUUUUCCUUUACAUGUCCUGUAGGGAGAAUAAUUUAAAGCAAAACAUUUUACAUAUUUAGAUGGUCUUCCAUUACUUUUACCAUGGUAUACAAAAACUACUCUAGUUCAAUUAUUCUAAAACAUAAUUAUGCAUGGAAAUCAUUUGGUGAAUUUGCUACAUUAAUCUCACUUACUAGAUUCCAGGGAUUAAACCCAAAAGGUCUGAUUCAGUAGGAUUUAUAUUGGGUUAGAAAUAUACAUUUUACUUAGCACCCCACCUGGUGAUCUGGACACGUUCUUCCUAGAUAUUUCAAAGAUAUUUUAACCUUAUUAGCUCAAAACUAAUAUGGUUUGGCUGUGCCUCCACCCUAAGCUCAUCUUGAAUUAUAGUUGCCAUAAUACCCUCAUGUUGUAGGAGGGAAUUUGCGGGAGGUGAUUAGAUUAUAUGGGAAGUUACCCAUACUGUUUUCAUAAUAGUGAGUGAGUUCUCACCAGAUCUGAUGAUACUGUGAGAAUAUUUUUCCAUAAUCCACUCUACACUUCUUUCUGCAGCUGCCUUGUGAAGAAGUAUACAAGAAUUCUAAUUUUUCCCUUUCCUUACAAAC